This 895-nucleotide small RNA is filed under the name Rattus norvegicus (Norway rat). RNAcentral describes it as "uncharacterized LOC102550889". The record is from RNAcentral. Lineage: Eukaryota; Metazoa; Chordata; Mammalia; Rodentia; Muridae.
CAGAAUGCGCCUGCUCAGAUGCCCACAAGGGAAGGCUCUAUCAGGGAGGGGCUGCCCUUUUCCACUGAGGGUGCAGCUCAGGAGGGACAUACAUGGAUCCCUGAGGGAGGAAGGGGAUACCUGGCCAGCCAUCUGUGUCAGCUGAAUCUAGCCUAGGGACCAAUGGGAUGGACAAGCAACAAGGACCAAGCUGAGAAAAACCUCACUUCUGGAGCCCUAGAGAAGGAGAAGCCAAGAUAAGAGGCCAGCAUUUAUCCAAAGCCCUGCCAAUGGCCAGUCAGAGGUGACAAGCCCCAACCUGGCACCCUGAAUUCACUUGGCACUGGCUUUAACAUGCUGGAGGCUAAGACUGCCAAGGUGGGUGUGGCCCGUGGUCUGCCUGGAAAUGCUUCUAGCCCCAUGGGGAGUGAGGUCAAAUUGGAGGAAUACCAAGUACCCUGGGAGUCUGCCUGGUGUGUGUGCUUUCUUUGGGGAUACAGCAGGAAAUGCUCUUGGACUGGGUCAAGAAAGAAGUGUUUUGCUUGGAAGAGAAGGUGUUUCUCCUGAUGCAUGUUUCUGUACCACAUGUGAGCAGUGCCUGUGGAAACCUGAAAUGUCUCCAGCAGGAAGUGACACUUUCAGCGUCAACAAUGUACCCAAGACCUUGCUCUCUCUGCUCUUGGAGAAAGAAGUCUCACUCCUUCCUCAUAGAAUAGGACAUCAGCACUCGCCCUCAGUCGGAAAACCUCUUCCACUGCUCUUUUGCCAUCUCCCUGGUGUGUUGAGACUUAUGCCUGACUGUUGGGAGCCUUGGCUGUGACUGGAAUGCGUUCUGUAUGUUGAAACUAUCAUGCUAAGUUCUCCUCAUGUGUUCUGUAUGCUUCAGAAGAUCUUGGAUAAAGUUGAACUUGGAUGA